This 440-nucleotide ribosomal RNA is filed under the name uncultured bacterium. Its description in RNAcentral is "partial 16S ribosomal RNA". It matches the Rfam family "Bacterial small subunit ribosomal RNA", at positions 339 to 795 of the family's 1533-position model. The record is from RNAcentral.
CUACGGGAUGCACCAGUGAGGAAUAUUGCACAAUGGGGGGAACCCUGAUGCAGCAACGCCGCGUGGAGGAUGACGCAUUUCGGUGUGUAAACUCCUUUUAUAUGUCAUGAAAAUGACGGUAGCAUAUGAAUAAGCACCGGCUAACUCCGUGCCAGCAGCGCGCGGUAAUACGGAGGGUGCAAGCGUUACUCGGAAUCACUGGGCGUAAAGGACGCGUAGGCGGGUUGGAAAGUCAGGUGUGAAAUCCUACAGCUUAACUGUAGAACUGCACUUGAAACUUCUAAUCUAGAGUAUGGGAGGGGGAGAUGGAAUUAGUGGUGUAGGGGUAAAAUCCGUAGAUAUCACUAGGAAUACCUAAAGCGAAGGCGAUCUCCUGGAGCAUUACUGACGCUAAGGCGUGAAAGCGUGGGGAGCAAACAGGAUUAGAUACCCGCGUAGUC